This 775-nucleotide ribosomal RNA is filed under the name uncultured Neocallimastigales. RNAcentral describes it as "partial large subunit ribosomal RNA". It matches the Rfam family "Eukaryotic large subunit ribosomal RNA", at positions 24 to 611 of the family's 3401-position model. Lineage: Eukaryota; Fungi; Neocallimastigomycota; Neocallimastigomycetes; Neocallimastigales. The record is from RNAcentral.
UAUCUCUGUAGAGUCUGCAUAUCAAUAAGCGGAGGAAAAGAAACUAACAAGGAUUCCCUUAGUAACGGCGAGUGAAGCGGGAAGAGCUCAAAUUUGAAAUCUUCAAGGUUUUACCUUGACGAAUUGUAGUUUAAAGAAGUGUUUUCUGUUGAAGUUUCGGUAAAAGUUCUUUGGAAUAGGACAUCAUAGAGGGUGAGAAUCCCGUAUUUGACCGUUAUUUUCAGCUGUGUGAUACACUUUCAAAGAGUCGGAUUGUUUGGGAAUGCAGUCCAAAAUGGGUGGUAAAUUUCAUCUAAAGCUAAAUAUUGGCGAGAGACCGAUAGCGAACAAGUACCGUGAGGGAAAGAUGAAAAGAACUUUGAAAAGAGAGUUAAACAGUACGUGAAAUUGUCAAAAGGGAAGCGUUUGACACCAGUGUUGUUUUCUCGAAAAUCAAUUAAAAAUGGCUUGAUUUUGUGUUGUAUUGACCUUAAAAGCUUUCUGCACUUUUUUCAUGUCUUUCUUAAUGCACUUUUCGUUUAACAGGUCGACAUCAGUUUCUUUUGUUGUAAAAAGGUCAUUGGAAGGUGGCUUUCUUUUCGGAGAAAGUGUUUAUAGCCUUUGACUCCUGCAAUCGGAGAGACUGAGGUCUGCAGCGUAGAUCCUUCUUGGAUUAGAUUCAUUUGUGCUAAGUUAUAGCUUUUUAUAGACAACUUGUUGACUAUAUUUAGUCUUGUAGCUUACUCGCUUAUGCAAUUUUACCUACGCUUAGGAUGUUGAACGCGCACAGAGUCUC